GACGAACGCUGGCGGCGUGCCUAAUACAUGCAAGUUGAGCGCUGAAGGUUGGUACUUGUACCAACUGGAUGAGCAGCGAACGGGUGAGUAACGCGUGGGGAAUCUGCCUUUGAGCGGGGGACAACAUUUGGAAACGAAUGCUAAUACCGCAUAAAAACUUUAAACACAAGUUUUAAGUUUGAAAGAUGCAAUUGCCUCACUCAAAGAUGAUCCCGCGUUGUAUUAGCUAGUUGGUGAGGUAAAGGCUCACCAAGGCGAUGAUACAUAGCCGACCUGAGAGGGUGAUCGGCCACAUUGGGACUGAGACACGGCCCAAACUCCUACGGGAGGCAGCAGUAGGGAAUCUUCGGCAAUGGACGAAAGUCUGACCGAGCAACGCCGCGUGAGUGAAGAAGGGUUUCGGAUCGUAAAACUCUGUUGGUAGAGAAGAACGUUGGUGAGAGUGGAAAGCUCAUCAAGUGACGGUAACUACCCAGAAAGGGACGGCUAACUACGUG
This 497-nucleotide ribosomal RNA is filed under the name uncultured bacterium. RNAcentral describes it as "partial 16S ribosomal RNA". It matches the Rfam family "Bacterial small subunit ribosomal RNA", at positions 28 to 507 of the family's 1533-position model. The record is from RNAcentral.